GCCUGGGUAGCUUAAUCAGUUAAGCGUCUGACUUCGGCUCAGGUCAUGAUCUCAUGGUUCGUGGGUUUGAGCCCCGCGUCGGGCU
Molecule: transfer RNA, 85 nt
Filed under: Felis catus (domestic cat)
Lineage: Eukaryota; Metazoa; Chordata; Mammalia; Carnivora; Felidae
Also listed under: 1 other name
Rfam family: tRNA
About the family: Transfer RNA (tRNA) molecules are approximately 80 nucleotides in length. Their secondary structure includes four short double-helical elements and three loops (D, anti-codon, and T loops). Further hydrogen bonds mediate the characteristic L-shaped molecular structure. tRNAs have two regions of fundamental functional importance: the anti-codon, which is responsible for specific mRNA codon recognition, and the 3' end, to which the tRNAs corresponding amino acid is attached (by aminoacyl-tRNA synthetases). tRNAs cope with the degeneracy of the genetic code in two manners: having more than one tRNA (with a specific anti-codon) for a particular amino acid; and 'wobble' base-pairing, i.e. permitting non-standard base-pairing at the 3rd anti-codon position.
Source: Rfam by way of RNAcentral